GAACCUUUAAGAGUCAGCAUACUCUGGUCUUAGAAAAGCCAACUUUUACGUAGAGGUUUCAAGGGUAUUUUGAAUUCAUUUUUUAAAUUUCUCUUUUCUUUCCUGCAGGAUGUGAAGUUUGAAGAGGAAGGACUUCGUGAACACAUUCCUAUGUCAUGUUUAAAGCCUAACAAAACAUUUGAGAAAGCUCCAAGUCAAGCAUUAAUUGCAGACCUAAAUCUUUGUAAAGAAUGCAGCACAGCCAAGCAUGGUACCCUUCCAGGAGUAACCCACGAAUCAGAGGGACCAGCCUGGCCUUGGCCUCGCUGGAAGUCUCGGUCACCCCAGCCUCUACGAAUACAGGUGAAAUGCAUUCGGGGUCUCAAGAAGAAGGUUCCCCAGGGCUCUUAUUUCCUCCAAGUGUCCCUGCUUGGUCGACCAGGAGGCCGAGUCUUGCCAUGGUGCCAGAUGGAACAGCCGGGAACCAGAACACAGCCAGCGAGGCACGAAGGAAACUUUUAUAACGUGGGGCUGUAUUUCCACGAGAGCCUUUAUGUGGUACUCCCGCCUAAGAAAGAUGUGAAACCAGGCAUGGCUUUCUUGUUUGAAC
This 589-nucleotide long non-coding RNA is filed under the name Sus scrofa (pig). RNAcentral's name for it is "lncRNA (ENSSSCG00050053974.1)". Lineage: Eukaryota; Metazoa; Chordata; Mammalia; Artiodactyla; Suidae. The record is from RNAcentral.